UACAGAGGGGGCAAGCGUUGUUCGGAAUUACUGGGCGUAAAGGGCGCGUAGGCGGCCUGCUAAGUCGAACGUGAAAUCCCCGGGCUCGACCCGGGAACUGCGUCCGAGACUGACAGGCUUGAAUCCGGGAGAGGGAUGUGGAAUUCCAGGUGUAGCGGUGAAAUGCGUAGAUAUCGGGAGGAACACCAGUGGCGAAGGCGACUUCCUGGCCUGUUCUUGACGCUGAGGCGCGAAAGCUAGGGUAGCAAACGGG
RNAcentral lists this ribosomal RNA (253 nucleotides) under uncultured bacterium. RNAcentral's name for it is "partial 16S ribosomal RNA". It matches the Rfam family "Bacterial small subunit ribosomal RNA", at positions 524 to 776 of the family's 1533-position model. The record is from RNAcentral.